Prunus dulcis (almond) is the source of this 1432-nucleotide long non-coding RNA. RefSeq lists it as uncharacterized. The record is from RefSeq and is a predicted model, not a curated record. The transcript is spliced from 6 exons. NCBI's taxonomy places the organism in Eukaryota, Viridiplantae, Streptophyta, Magnoliopsida, Rosales, Rosaceae.
GUUCUUCCCACCACUCUCACUCUGUACCCCUUUUUUUUUGUUCGGUUCAUCUCUAUCUCUCGGGUAUCCCUCUCCUCCCUCUCCCUUCCCUCCUCCUACUUUAGUCAACAAAGGUCAGUAGCAUAAUUUUAGGGUUACUGAUUUGGGUAUUAAUGUCCUCCCUCCCUCCUCAGAUCUCUUCCUCUCCUCAAACCCUCAUCUCCUAUAAUUUCACGAGUUCAUUUAUCUCCUAUAAUUCACGAGUUUCAUCCCCAAAUAGUUGGAAGGCUUUCAACUUUAAUCGCCAAAUUUGCGAAGUGUCUGUAGCCUUCUUUCUUCUCUCUUCCCAUCACCUCCCUCUCUUGUAUGCACCACUUUCUAGAUCUCUCUCCAUGAACACUUACCCUUCUCUUCGUUUUCUUGUUCGUCCGUUUCUUUCAUAUCCUUUGUCUCCAAACGAGAUCUGGAACUUGUCUUAUUGAAAAUUUUCCCAAAUGAUCACAACUUGCAUAAGCCUCUCUUCAUUACAAACCCUAGAUCUGUGACUUUCUCUUCUCUUCCAAAAUUCUAAACACAAAUAGAAGAACGAACCACUGAGUUAUGAAAUCUUUCUUGAUCUGGUUCAGGCCACAUCACCAUAAUCGAAUUCUUACUUCUGCCACUACAAACUUAGGAUUUGGUUAGUUGAUCAUGGGGAACUACAACACAUCAGGUUUGAGAGAUGUGCCAAUUUGAAGUUCAUGAAAAGUUCCACCAUCUGCAUACUUAAACUAUGAAGCAGGAAAGUUUUUGAAGAGUAAAGGCAUAGGGGUUUUUGGCAAGAUGUAAAAGAUACAAACAUUUAUGUUGAAGUAUGGAGAUAUUACUUGCUAACUAGUAGGCCUGAGAAAGAUGAAGAAGUGGAGUCCUUAAGGAAGAAGUUUGUUGGAGUCAAGCCGACAGGAAGGAGAGGGAAGAAGCUGAAGCAGUGAAGGUGGCUGCACAACUCAAGAAAAUGAAAGUUUCAGGUUAGAAUUUCCUUACGUUGGCUGGUCCACAAUUUGAAUGUUCUUAUGUUUGUAGUUCAUGUUGCAUAGUGUCUUGACCAGUGCAUAAGGAUGGGGGAAUGUGUUAUUAGGAUGUGAGCAAAUGGCAGGCAUUCAAAUUGGCAACACUUACUGGUUUUGCUGAGCCUUUGGGUGUCAUAAUUGUAGCUUAUCUAUUCUCAAGCAGCUUGAGUCUUGAAAUUCUUAAGGCUUGCUAGGAGCAGGUUUGCCAACACACGAGCAGAUGGAUGAAGUCAGGCAUGAGUGAGCAAGUUUUGUGACCAUUAUGUACAGCGAUAAAGUUAUGGAACAAGAUAAACACAAUUUUUUUUUAAUUGUGAAAAUUGGUGUAGUGUAUAUGCAUUGAAUUCUAAUUGUAAAUUGAUAUUGUGGUACAAAUUAUUAGUGUGAAUUUCCAUUAAUUUUCA